GGAAAGAGAAGGAAACCAGGUCUUGCAUAAGACAUGGUUUUACACAACAUCUAAACAUCAUGUGAGAUAAGUAACAUUAAAUUUAAGUAUGGAAUAGUGGUGUUUGCAUUAAAAUAGUAGUGUCUAGUACUAGUUUCUUGAUGAUGUGUGGAGUUUAUAGAAACUAUGUCUAGUGUCUUGGGUUGGGACUGAC
Molecule: unclassified non-coding RNA, 193 nt
Filed under: Oryza sativa (Asian cultivated rice)
Lineage: Eukaryota; Viridiplantae; Streptophyta; Magnoliopsida; Poales; Poaceae
Description: partial microRNA MIR489h precursor
Source: RNAcentral